Procambarus clarkii (red swamp crayfish) is the source of this 434-nucleotide non-coding RNA. The record is from RefSeq and is a predicted model, not a curated record. Lineage: Eukaryota; Metazoa; Arthropoda; Malacostraca; Decapoda; Cambaridae.
AAUGAGACGACGACGUGUCGUCGACGACGUGUCGACAGCAGCGGCUGUCUUCCCUUCGCAACAAGGACAGAGGAUUCCAGGACGUACAAGCAUUAGUGCCAGACGUACGACGCGCCGGAGUGCGUCGUUUCACUGCUUCAAGCUUCACACUCCAGCUUGUUCGAACUCUUGUGUCAUCAGCACUUGCCUAACAAUAUAUGAAAAAUAGAGCUUGAGCUCCUGGGCCCCCAUCUUUAAGGGGUGCCGGGGCGAGGGCGGCUGUCCGCCACCAACGCACACCUUCAACUUCUCCGUGCUGCCAGUCGCCGACCCUACAGACCAAGUCCAGGAGGUGAUGUUCAUGGGUGUGGUGGGACCGUUCGACGAGAAGCGAGUGUGCAAGAUCAAGUGCAUCUCCGGGCGCUGGGUGGGGCCUCUCUGCUCCCUCGAGCACG